Lycium barbarum (goji berry) is the source of this 2348-nucleotide long non-coding RNA. RefSeq lists it as uncharacterized. Lineage: Eukaryota; Viridiplantae; Streptophyta; Magnoliopsida; Solanales; Solanaceae. The record is from RefSeq and is a predicted model, not a curated record. The transcript has 5 exons.
ACACAAAAAUCAGCAUUUAAAAAUACAAAAUGAAAGCAAAAUAAUUUUUUAAAAAAAAGAAACAGCAAAGGAUGACCCGUAAAGUGUAUAAGUUCAGUUUCUAAACCAUCUCCCUAAAAGUUCUCUUAUAACCUUAAUCCCAAUAAUUAACCACCCUUUUUUUUAAAAAAAAAGAAAAAGAAAAAAGAACACCCAAUGAUGAGAGAGAUAAGCCGGAGUAAACAACAGACAGAGGCAAGUGUCAUCACGCUUCAUUUCUGUGCUUUUCUUCGUUCUUGAUGUUUUUCCAUUCAUCUGUGGGGUAACUUUUGAUGGAGUUAUCAGUUUCUGUGUUUCAAACCAAAAUCAAUGAUUUUAAAUCAUCCCGCCUUUAACCUAAUGCCCAUCACACUCAACAAUUAACAAAAGAGGAAGAAUUUAACCAAUAAUUGGUCAAACUAAAACCUCAAGUUCUCAACUUGAGAGUUCUGGUCAGUCAAGAUAGAGAAGAAAUCAACAGAGGAUAAGAGAUUUGUCGACAAAGAUCAAAGCAAUUUCAAAUUCCAAUUUUUGCAUGGUGUAUGAAAUUUCUAUGACGACAACAUAAUUGCACUGUAGCUUUGUUGCAAUUUCUUCAACAACAUGGAAGUGCUUUCUACUUAAAUUACAAGGUAAUCACGAAAGAGUCCAUUUUAGCAGCACAUAAUGAGCGCAUCUUUUGUCCCAUUUUCUUCUUUUCAAUUUGUUAUCAAUGUCAGAGAUGUGAAGCAUUUCUAUAAAUUUGCAAAAUGAGUCAUUUCAAGGAUAUACUAUGAAUUGAAAGACCGGAUUAAGUUUUAUUAGGAACGAUUGCUCCGCUACAAUAUGGAACCUUUUCAGAUGUAAGAGAGCACUUAAGUACCAUGUCAAGACAUUAUCAGGGAGAUGAGUUGUCAUUGCAGAGGACACUAAUAUGAUUCACCGGAAUACACAUGAUUAUGUUGCUUUGCUUUUCUAUGCUUCGUGGCGUCCUUUCUCUAAAAGUUUUGGCCAAAUUUUUCUAUCAUGUCUUCUUUGUUUCCUUCAAUUCCCAAUUUCGCAAUUGAAGAAUUUAAGCCACGAUUAGUGUGAAAUGAAUGUUUUGCAUUGUAUUGCUUUCUCUAUAUUAUGCUGACAACUAAGAAUGUCUUUUCAACACUCUUAAGUAUGGAGUUCAUGGGUUUCCAACUCUCAUCCUUUUAAACUCAACAAUACGCAUGCAGUAUCAUGGCUCUCGCAUCCUUGAUUCAGAUUGAAAUUCAUGGUGGCACUAUUGGUAAUCGUGUAUGUUAAAUUGUAUUAUGGUGUCUUUCUCUGUAGCUGUAAUUUGAUUUCCAUUGAAAGUUGGUUUCUGUUUGGUUUGGACUGUUAUGCUUAAUUGGUUUCUCUUUUGUUGGACUCUUUUUUUAAUUAACUCUUUUCUUACGUAGCACAAAGCCUUUUCUCCUUUUUUUUUUGAAUAGAAAUUUUUUCCAAUUCAUUGCCAUAAAUUGCGAGUUCAACAAAAUCUCUACAGAUACUUGUGAUAUAGUUUAAAGCUUUUUGCGCAGAGACGUAAUGGGCAAAAGGCAAAAUAUAAAGAGAUUUAUCAAAUUAAUAUUCUCUUAACAUUGAUUGCAGAUCACCGAGUAAGAUUGCCCUGAUGAUUGGUUAACUUUUCAAUGCUUAUGUGAUGUUAUAUACAUCCCUGCUUUAUCAUGUUCUGAUCAUGUGAUGGGAUGCUAUGUUUUGAUUCAUGUGAUUGGGAAACUAUUUUUUUCCAACUCAAAUAGGGAGAUAAUAUUGUGGUUCACAGAAUUCCCAAAGUGUGUCACUUUCUCAUAGAAUUCCUCUUCUUUCCCAAUUUGUGAAUUUUUUACUUGCCUUUAUGUUCCAAAGAUUGUACAUAGUUGAAUUAGUAAUCAACAUUUGAGCAAAAGGAAAGCAUCUGUGGCGUUAGAUAUUGGAUUCAAUUAAUUUAAUGUGCAGAAACAAAUAUGUGUAUCUAUCUGCCAUUACUUUUUCUUAGCAUUUUUAUCUUCUACUCUUGAUGUCUAAUCAUCUCUUUUGUUUAUGUGCCUUUUCCAUUAUCAGUAUAAGGUGUUUGAAGAUGGAUGUUGGACAAUUGAUGGGAAGAUCGCAAGGAUAAUAUUGAUUUACUUGCAUCGACAUCUAAAGAACCUAUCCUCUAAUUGAGUUCAAAGUACAAUCCUUCGGCAAUACUCAUUCUUGAUAAACUCAGAAGUCAUUGUUUGAAACAUACAAUGAGUGCGUGCUUAUUAUUAUGUGCAUAAAUAUUAUGAAGAGCACAAAGACUCCAACAUCUGUAACAAGCCAAUGAAUAUAACAAAACUAGAAUUCUUUCAUGCUCC